Molecule: ribosomal RNA, 372 nt
Filed under: uncultured organism
Description: partial 16S ribosomal RNA
Rfam family: Bacterial small subunit ribosomal RNA
Source: RNAcentral
GUAGGUGGCAAGCGUUGUCCGGAAUUAUUGGGCGUAAAGCGCGCGCAGGGCGGUCCUUUAAGUCUGAUGUGAAAGCCCACGGCUCAACCGUGGAGGGUCAUUGGAAACUGGGGGACUUGAGUACAGAAGAGGAAAGCGGAAUCCCAAGUGUAGCGGUGAAAUGCGUAGAGAUUUGGAGGAACACCAGUGGCGAAGGCGGCUUUCUGGUCUGUAACUGACGCUGAGGCGCGAAAGCGUGGGGAGCAAACAGGAUUAGAUACCCUGGUAGUCCACGCCGUAAACGAUGAGUGCUAAGUGUUAGGGGGUUUCCGCCCCUUAGUGCUGCAGCUAACGCAUUAAGCACUCCGCCUGGGGAGUACGGCCGCAAGGCUG